GGCACCGAGAGCUAUUCUGAAAGCCGCGUUGGAACUGCGCAGACGCAGGGGAGGCUCAGCAAUUCUAACAGAUUCCAAGGGGAAAUGAAGAGUCAUGUUAGAACUUAAGCGCCUUACCAUGUCCACAUCCAGCUUGAAGCCACAGCCAUGGGCAUCCGUGCACAUCCGCUGACGGGGGCAGAGCAAGAUGCAAAGUCACUCUGAAGGGAGCACGGAGGCUGUCGCACAUCUUCCCGCACCGGGCAGUUUCUUCUUGCCCUUAAAGACACAGCUCAAACACCUUCUAGACAUCUGUAGCAGUCAUGUGACCUGGGCGCCACCAUCAGAACCGUCCUCCUGAUUCCUGCUCCGAAGGGAGCUUGGAGAUAACCAAACGGCCUGUGCGUCCAUUUCCUGAUGCAGGGGACCACAGGAGUGGCAGCAAUAUCCUGUCAGACUUGUCACUCUGUGGUAUCAGUGGCAAUUUAUGGUGGCAAUAAAUUUUUGUGCAACUCGGAGGGAGACCCAGUGAUUUUUUAAAAAUCUUAUUUUCCACACUACCAGUUCUAUAGUGUAGCUUUGGGCAUUGCUCUUGGAAGUUGAAUAAGCUUCAACCCUUAUUAUCUAAUCCAUUUCUUAACCUCAAGGAAAACAAACAGAGGAUGAGGGAAGGAAGGCAUUCCAAAGUAGACCGACGGUCUUAUGAUUGACAGUGAAAUUGGUGAAUAAAUUAAAAAUUAGCGACUAAAUGGUCAACCAAUGAAAGGUGACAUCGUAUGUUCAUGUCAUUUCACUGGGUGAUGGGGACAGUUCAGGGACAGUUGGAGGGGAUUUUUGUGUGUAUGCAGAUUAGAAAUUUCCUCAUGGGGCAAAUGGUGCCACCAGGGCAGCAGUUAGGCUCCCCCUACUGAGUCCUGAAUCAGGACCACAGCUCUGGCAGCCG
Long non-coding RNA from Rhinolophus ferrumequinum (greater horseshoe bat), 922 nucleotides. RefSeq lists it as uncharacterized. Lineage: Eukaryota; Metazoa; Chordata; Mammalia; Chiroptera; Rhinolophidae. The record is from RefSeq and is a predicted model, not a curated record. The transcript has 3 exons.